CAGGCAUAAGGAUUGUUGGUGAAUAGGGUGUUGGACGUUUUCUUGACUCUAAAAGAACCAGUAAAAUCUUAUCCAGGAUCUUUCUGAAGUAUGAUUACUUUAGAUUAAUCGAGUUUUGAUAUUUAAAAGGACGUUUGAUUGCUUUGGUCUAGCUGUGACAAAGUAACUGUAGUGUAAACUAGCUACAAAUUAACUGUCACUUUUUUUAUUUGAAGAAAGAAUAGCUUCCACGAUGAAUCGGGACAGAGCUAGCCCACAUACCUCCACCCUGCCAGAGUCCCCGGGUUGCAACUCUCCCGGUAGCGCCUUACUGCAGGGGGUCUGAAGAGGGUGUCUUCAUUGCUGAUCGACUGCAGGAAAACACCAGGGCAGAGUGGAUCUUCGAGAGGUGACACAAGGAGGGAGAUGGAGAUUUGAUUUCAUCAAGGGACACACCUAAACGUGGUUAUCUCGGUGGGAGGGGCUUAUCUGCUCACCUUCAACCACAUGUUGCUGACGAGGCAGAGAAGUGUCUCUCCAGAUCAGAACACUUCAAGAAACACCAGCAGAGAUGUAUAGGGAAGAAACCUCAACACUGCUGCUCUGACUGUGGGAAGAAUUUCACUAGCCGGAGUUGCUUCAUUAUUCACCAGCGGAUUCACACCGGCGAGAGACCGUACUUCUGCUCUCAGUGUGGGAAGAGGCACAUCUCUGCAGGGCGUCUUAAAGAACACCAAAGAAUCCAUACAG
Oncorhynchus tshawytscha (Chinook salmon) is the source of this 729-nucleotide long non-coding RNA. RefSeq lists it as uncharacterized. Lineage: Eukaryota; Metazoa; Chordata; Actinopteri; Salmoniformes; Salmonidae. The record is from RefSeq and is a predicted model, not a curated record. The transcript is spliced from 3 exons.